ACGGGUGAGAUAAUGUAUAGUUGAUCUGCCCCUUGGUGGGGGAUAACAGUUGGAAACNACUGCUAAUACCCCAUACUCCUUCUCUAUUCAUUAGAGUCNGGNAAGUCUUUUCGCCAAGGGAUGAGACUAUAUGGCAUCAGCUUGUUGGUGAGGUAAGAGCUCACCAAGGCUAUGACGCCUAUCUGGUCUGAGAGGAUGAUCAGCCACACUGGAACUGAGACACGGUCCAGACUCCUACGGGAGGCAGCAGUGGGGAAUAUUGCACAAUGGAGGAAACUCUGAUGCAGCAACGCCGCGUGGAGGAUGACGCAUUUCGGUGUGUAAACUCCUUUUAUAUGGGAAGAUAAUGACGGUACCAUAUGAAUAAGCACCGG
This 374-nucleotide ribosomal RNA is filed under the name uncultured bacterium. RNAcentral describes it as "bacterial SSU rRNA". It matches the Rfam family "Bacterial small subunit ribosomal RNA", at positions 102 to 496 of the family's 1533-position model. The record is from RNAcentral.